CAAGCGGUGGAGUAUGUUGUUUAAUUCGAAGAUACACGAAGAACCUUACCAGGUCUUGACAUACCAUUGACAGGCGCAGAGAUGUGCUCUUCUUCGGACAAUGGAUACAGGUGGUGCAUGGUUGUCGUCAGCUCGUGCCGUGAGGUGUUGGGUUAAGUCCCGCAGCGAGCGCAACCCCUAUUGCUAGUUACUAACAUUGAGUUGAGGACUCUAGUGAGACUGCCAGUGACAAACUGGAGGAAGGGUGGGGAUGACGUCAAAUCAUCAUGCCCUUUAUGACCUGGGCUACAAACGUACUACAAUGGCCAAUACAAAGAGAUGCGAAGUCGCGAGAUGGAGCGAACCUCAAAAAAAUGGUCUCAGUUCAGAUUGAAGUCUGCAACUCGACUUCAUGAAGGCGGAAUCGCUAGUAAUCGCGGGUCAGCAGACCGCGGUGAAUACGUUCCCGGGUUUU
Molecule: ribosomal RNA, 454 nt
Filed under: uncultured Mollicutes bacterium
Lineage: Bacteria; Bacillati; Mycoplasmatota; Mollicutes
Description: bacterial SSU rRNA
Rfam family: Bacterial small subunit ribosomal RNA
Source: RNAcentral